RNAcentral lists this ribosomal RNA (2858 nucleotides) under Salmonella enterica subsp. enterica serovar Typhimurium. RNAcentral describes it as "bacterial LSU rRNA". It matches the Rfam family "Bacterial large subunit ribosomal RNA". The record is from RNAcentral. Lineage: Bacteria; Pseudomonadati; Pseudomonadota; Gammaproteobacteria; Enterobacterales; Enterobacteriaceae.
AGCGUACACGGUGGAUGCCCUGGCAGUCAGAGGCGAUGAAGGGCGUGCUAAUCUGCGAUAAGCGCCGGUAAGGUGAUAUGAACCGUUAUAACCGGCGAUACCCGAAUGGGGAAACCCAGUGUGAUUCGUCACACUAUCAUUAACUGAAUCCAUAGGUUAAUGAGGCGAACCGGGGGAACUGAAACAUCUAAGUACCCCGAGGAAAAGAAAUCAACCGAGAUUCCCCCAGUAGCGGCGAGCGAACGGGGAGGAGCCCAGAGCCUGAAUCAGCAUGUGUGUUAGUGGAAGCGUCUGGAAAGGUGCGCGAUACAGGGUGACAGCCCCGUACACAAAAGCGCAUGUGCUGUGAGCUCGAUGAGUAGGGCGGGACACGUGGUAUCCUGUCUGAAUAUGGGGGGACCAUCCUCCAAGGCUAAAUACUCCUGACUGACCGAUAGUGAACCAGUACCGUGAGGGAAAGGCGAAAAGAACCCCGGCGAGGGGAGUGAAAAAGAACCUGAAACCGUGUACGUACAAGCAGUGGGAGCACAGGUUUACCUGUGUGACUGCGUACCUUUUGUAUAAUGGGUCAGCGACUUAUAUUCUGUAGCAAGGUUAACCGUAUAGGGGAGCCGUAGGGAAACCGAGUCUUAACCGGGCGUUAAGUUGCAGGGUAUAGACCCGAAACCCGGUGAUCUAGCCAUGGGCAGGUUGAAGGUUGGGUAACACUAACUGGAGGACCGAACCGACUAAUGUUGAAAAAUUAGCGGAUGACCUGUGGCUGGGGGUGAAAGGCCAAUCAAACCGGGAGAUAGCUGGUUCUCCCCGAAAGCUAUUUAGGUAGCGCCUCGUGAAUUCAUCUCCGGGGGUAGAGCACUGUUUCGGCUAGGGGGCCAUCCCGGCUUACCAACCCGAUGCAAACUGCGAAUACCGGAGAAUGUUAUCACGGGAGACACACGGCGGGUGCUAACGUCCGUCGUGAAGAGGGAAACAACCCAGACCGCCAGCUAAGGUCCCAAAGUCAUGGUUAAGUGGGAAACGAUGUGGGAAGGCCCAGACAGCCAGGAUGUUGGCUUAGAAGCAGCCAUCAUUUAAAGAAAGCGUAAUAGCUCACUGGUCGAGUCGGCCUGCGCGGAAGAUGUAACGGGGCUAAACCAUGCACCGAAGCUGCGGCAGCGAACGUAUCACUUAAAGCGAUUCAGCGGGUUACGAUUGACGGAGCGAAGCGACGUCAAAGCGUAUACAAAGUCGAGUCGGUUUAAGGAUACGUUCGUUGGGUAGGGGAGCGUUCUGUAAGCCCGUGAAGGUGGCCUGUGAGGGUUGCUGGAGGUAUCAGAAGUGCGAAUGCUGACAUAAGUAACGAUAAAGCGGGUGAAAAGCCCGCUCGCCGGAAGACCAAGGGUUCCUGUCCAACGUUAAUCGGGGCAGGGUGAGUCGACCCCUAAGGCGAGGCCGAAAGGCGUAGUCGAUGGGAAACGGGUUAAUAUUCCCGUACUUGGUGUUACUGCGAAGGGGGGACGGAGAAGGCUAUGUUGGCCGGGCGACGGUUGUCCCGGUUUAAGCGUGUAGGUGUGUGUUCCAGGUAAAUCCGGUUCACUUUAACACUGAGGCGUGAUGACGAGGCACUACGGUGCUGAAGCAACAAAUGCCCUGCUUCCAGGAAAAGCCUCUAAGCAUCAGGUAACAUCAAAUCGUACCCCAAACCGACACAGGUGGUCAGGUAGAGAAUACCAAGGCGCUUGAGAGAACUCGGGUGAAGGAACUAGGCAAAAUGGUGCCGUAACUUCGGGAGAAGGCACGCUGACACGUAGGUGAAGUGAUUUACUCACGGAGCUGAAGUCAGUCGAAGAUACCAGCUGGCUGCAACUGUUUAUUAAAAACACAGCACUGUGCAAACACGAAAGUGGACGUAUACGGUGUGACGCCUGCCCGGUGCCGGAAGGUUAAUUGAUGGGGUCAGCGCAAGCGAAGCUCCUGAUCGAAGCCCCGGUAAACGGCGGCCGUAACUAUAACGGUCCUAAGGUAGCGAAAUUCCUUGUCGGGUAAGUUCCGACCUGCACGAAUGGCGUAAUGAUGGCCAGGCUGUCUCCACCCGAGACUCAGUGAAAUUGAACUCGCUGUGAAGAUGCAGUGUACCCGCGGCAAGACGGAAAGACCCCGUGAACCUUUACUAUAGCUUGACACUGAACAUUGAGCCUUGAUGUGUAGGAUAGGUGGGAGGCUUUGAAGUGUGGACGCCAGUCUGCAUGGAGCCGACCUUGAAAUACCACCCUUUAAUGUUUGAUGUUCUAACGUGGACCCGUAAUCCGGGUUGCGGACAGUGUCUGGUGGGUAGUUUGACUGGGGCGGUCUCCUCCUAAAGAGUAACGGAGGAGCACGAAGGUUGGCUAAUCCUGGUCGGACAUCAGGAGGUUAGUGCAAUGGCAUAAGCCAGCUUGACUGCGAGCGUGACGGCGCGAGCAGGUGCGAAAGCAGGUCAUAGUGAUCCGGUGGUUCUGAAUGGAAGGGCCAUCGCUCAACGGAUAAAAGGUACUCCGGGGAUAACAGGCUGAUACCGCCCAAGAGUUCAUAUCGACGGCGGUGUUUGGCACCUCGAUGUCGGCUCAUCACAUCCUGGGGCUGAAGUAGGUCCCAAGGGUAUGGCUGUUCGCCAUUUAAAGUGGUACGCGAGCUGGGUUUAGAACGUCGUGAGACAGUUCGGUCCCUAUCUGCCGUGGGCGCUGGAGAACUGAGGGGGGCUGCUCCUAGUACGAGAGGACCGGAGUGGACGCAUCACUGGUGUUCGGGUUGUCAUGCCAAUGGCACUGCCCGGUAGCUAAAUGCGGAAGAGAUAAGUGCUGAAAGCAUCUAAGCACGAAACUUGCCCCGAGAUGAGUUCU